GACCUCUUUAAUGUUGAGACAGGGCCUCUGUAAGUUACUAAGUUGCCCAACUGGAACUCUAGCUCGAAGUCCUCCUGCCUCAGCCUCCCUAGUGCUGGGAUGACAGGCGUGCGUCACCACGCUGGGCCGGGACCUGCUUCUGGACUCUUACCUGAGACAGUGAGAUUACAUGCCUGUGCCACCAUAGCUGAUCAGAGCCAUCCUUUCAGUGUGUCUCUUGACUGGUGUCUUAGUGACUGCGGUCCGAGCAAACCACACUCAGACCCGCUUUGCGCGCCGCCGGCCCGGCCGGGACCCCGCCAGGGCAGCUGGGCUUGGGAGGAGCAGAUCGGUCACCCAGCCAGGGCCUGUAAUUCCAGCACUCGGGAGGCUGAGGCAGAGGAUCGCUUCCGAGUUCGAGGCCAACCGGAACUACAUGGCGAGACCCUGUCUGAAAACAGUAAAAUGUCACCUAGUGGACCCUGUGCAGGGGGGGACCCAGUGAAGACUGUCGUUCCAACAAAAGAGGACGUCAGUCCUUGAAAAGUGACCUCGACCCGUGUGAGGGGAAGAGCUCACCCAUGGGACCUCUAUACCAGGGACGCACAGGCGUGAGAGUGUUUGUCUGGAUGCUGACAAGUACGAAGUCCGACCCGGUGCUGGCGCAGAUCCGCGGGGACCCGGGCUACUCCUGGAUGGACAUCAUCACCAUCUGCAGGGACAAACUGCCCGACUUUGAGAAGAAGAUCCAGAUCUUCUACACGGAGCACUUGCACCUGGACGAGGAGAUCCGCUACAUCCUGGAUGGCAGCGGGUACUUCGAUGUCAGGGACAAGGAGGACAGGUGGAUCCGGAUCUCCAUGGAGAAGGGCGACAUGAUCACCCUGCCAGCCGGCAUCUACCACCGCUUCACACUGGACGA
RNAcentral lists this long non-coding RNA (901 nucleotides) under Heterocephalus glaber (naked mole-rat). Its description in RNAcentral is "lncRNA (ENSHGLG00100043863.1)". Lineage: Eukaryota; Metazoa; Chordata; Mammalia; Rodentia; Bathyergidae. The record is from RNAcentral.